RNAcentral lists this long non-coding RNA (4235 nucleotides) under Naja naja (Indian cobra). RNAcentral's name for it is "lncRNA (ENSNNAG00000017901.1)". Lineage: Eukaryota; Metazoa; Chordata; Lepidosauria; Squamata; Elapidae. The record is from RNAcentral.
GCCAAGGAAGGGUUAACCAGCCAAGUUCCAGGCUAACACAGGAGAUUAUAGAAUGUUUAUCUAGUAUUCAGAUUUCCUGUUUAAAUGUUUGGAUUUCCUGAAAUCUAUCAGUCUGAAGGGUGUCCAGUACGUGGCCUUUUCCGCCCCUUCUUUUCAGCUCACAUGGGUGGACUUCCCUUCCCAACUGUAUUUCUGUCUCCUCACCAGCCAAGAUUUUCAUGGAUGAAAAUCAAAACGUUUUAGGCACCCCCAGAAAAUAUUUCUGGAUCCCUGGCCUUUGGGAUGUGCUUUGUUUUAAUCUAGCGAGCAAAUAAUCACAACAAAAAUUCCUGGGAAUUUCCUAUUGGUGCAACGUGCCUUUUUUUUUUCCCCUUUUCUCUCUUUUUUUUCCCAGCUCCGUGUUGGAAAAUAAUUUUAGCCCUUUCAAGACAAUGGAAUGAUGGCCUUCCUUUUGGCAUGCUCUUCUGGAAUGGGACUUCAAACAGGACGAGUCUUGGUAAUUUUCUUCUGUUGAGACAUGAGAUCUUCAGCUUCCAGAUUGUCCAGCUUCUCUUCAAGGGAUUCAUUAUGGAAUCGGAUCAUGCCGGACCAGAUCACUGUGUCGGAGUUUAUUGUUGAGACCACGGAAGAUUACAAUUCCCCAACGACCUCCAGUUUUACCACCCGGCUACAGAACUGCAGGAACACCGUCACGCUGCUAGAAGAGGCUUUAGAUCAGGACAGAACUGCACUACAAAAAGUGAAAAAAUCUGUAAAAGCAAUAUAUAACUCUGGGCAAGAACAUAUCCAAAAUGAAGAAAGCUAUGCACAAGUACUAGAUAAAUUUGGAAGUAAUUUCUUAAGUAGAGAUAAUCCAGACCUGGGAACUGCUUUUGUAAAGUUUUCCACGCUAACUAAGGAAUUGUCAACACUGCUUAAAAAUCUGCUACAAGGGUUGAGCCAUAAUGUUAUCUUCACCUUGGAUUCCCUGUUGAAAGGAGAUCUGAAAGGAAUUAAAGGGGAUCUGAAAAAGCCUUUCGAUAAAGCCUGGAAGGAUUAUGAGACCAAAUUCACGAAGAUUGAAAAGGAAAAAAGGGAACACGCCAAACAACAUGGGAUGAUACGAACAGAGAUCACUGGAGCUGAGAUAGCAGAAGAAAUGGAGAAAGAGAGAAGGUUGUUUCAGCUCCAGAUGUGUGAAUAUCUCAUUAAGGUUAAUGAAAUCAAGACGAAAAAGGGUGUGGACCUUUUACAGAAUCUUAUUAAGUAUUAUCAUGCACAAUGCAAUUUCUUUCAAGAUGGCUUGAAGACAGCUGAUAAACUCAAACAGUACAUUGAAAAGCUAGCUGCUGAUUUAUAUAACAUAAAACAGACACAAGAUGAAGAAAAGAAGCAACUUACUGCAUUGAGGGACUUGAUAAAAUCCUCUUUGCAACUUGACCAAAAAGAGGAUUCACAGAGCCGGCAAGGAGGUUACAGCAUGCAUCAACUUCAGGGAAAUAAAGAGUUUGGCAGUGAGAAGAAAGGAUACCUUUUAAAGAAAAGCGAUGGCAUACGGAAAGUUUGGCAGAGAAGAAAAUGCACAGUUAAAAAUGGCAUCCUGACCAUUUCACAUGCAACUUCAAACAGGCAACCUGCUAAAUUAAAUCUGCUUACAUGCCAAGUGAAACCAAACGCUGAAGACAAGAAAUCAUUUGACCUGAUAUCACAUAACAGAACAUAUCACUUUCAGGCAGAGGAUGAGCAAGAUUAUGUCGCGUGGAUAUCAGUACUGACCAACAGCAAAGAAGAAGCUUUAAAUAUGAGAUUGGCUGGAAAUGAUGUCUGUUGUGACUGCGGAUCACCAGAUCCAACUUGGCUUUCUACUAACCUGGGCAUUUUAACCUGUAUAGAGUGUUCCGGAAUACACAGAGAAAUGGGUGUUCAUAUUUCUCGAAUCCAAUCUCUAGAACUGGACAAGUUAGGAACAUCUGAACUCUUGCUGGCCAAGAAUAUAGGAAAUAAUAGUUUUAAUGACAUUAUGGAGGGAAACUUACCGACUCCGUCUCCAAAACCCACUCCAUCGAGUGAUAUGACUGCCCGCAAAGAAUUUAUUACUGCUAAAUAUGUAGAUCAUAAGUACUCCAGAAAGACCUGUGCAUCAUCAGCGGCUAAACUGAAUGAACUACUAGAGGCUGUUCGAUCCAGGGAUUUACUUGCACUACUUCAAGUCUAUGCAGAAGGAGUUGAACUGAUGGAGCCACUCUUAGAACCUGGACAGGAGCCAGGCGAAACUGCUCUUCAUUUAGCAGUCCGAACUGCUGAUCACACAUCACUCCAUCUGAUCGACUUCCUUGUACAAAACUGUGGAAACCUGGAUAAGCAAACCGUGUUGGGGAAUACAGUUCUACAUUAUUGCAGUAUAUAUAACAAACCAGAGUGUUUGAAGUUGGUUUUGAAGGGGAAGCCAACUUUGCAUAUAGCUGGAGAAACUGCCCUGGACACGGCAAAGAGACUGAAAGCUCUUCCGUGUGAAGAUUUGCUUUCCCAGGCCAAAGUGGGGAAACUAAAUCCACACGUUCACGUCGAAUACGAGUGGAACCUUCGGCAGGAAGAAAUGGAUGAAAGUGACGAUGACUUAGAUGACAAGCCUAGUCCGAUUAAGAAAGAACGUUCCCCAAGACCGCAGAGUUUUUGUCAUUCUUCCAGUAUUUCUCCUCAAGACAAAAUGGCUGUUCCCGGCCUUGGCACUCCACGAGACAAGCAGAGACUCUCCUAUGGCGCCUUCCCACAUCAGAUUUUUGUCUCUGCCAGCAUCGACUCUGCCACUUCACCAACAACUGUAGAUGGGCCCCCACUUCCUCCAAGAAAUGCUGGAAAAGGUAUUUGUUUGGCACUGUUCACCGGGACUGCUAAGACUGCUCUGGGCCCAAGAGUGCUUCCCAAACUACCUCAAAAAGUGGCGUUACGAAAAAUAGAAACAAUUCAUCUUCCUUCGGUAGACAAAUCCAGCCACCACUCUGAGAUCUUUCAAAAGUCGGCUUCUCUUUGUAUCGAUCUGCCCCUGAAGCCCCAGCCUGCAGAUUUAGCCCCCAAACCAGGAGAAUUACCCCCCAAACCCCAACUGGGGGACCUGCCCCCAAAGCCCCAAUUAGCCGACUUGCCUCCAAAACCCCAAAUGAAGGAUCUCCCUCCAAAGCCACAACUGGGAGAAACUUUGGCGAAAUCUCCCGGCGGGGAAUUAUCCCUAGAUCUCAAGAUUAUCCAGAAACAAGCAUCUGAAGACUCUGGAGAUACGACCCCUGGAUCAGCAGAAACCCCUGUGCCGCUUCCUAGAAAAAUAAACAUGGGGAAGAAUAAAGUCAAGAGGGUGAAGACAAUCUACGAUUGCCAAGCAGAUAACGAUGAUGAGCUUACGUUUGUGGAAGGCGAAAUUAUUAUUGUAACCGGAGAGGAGGAUCAGGAGUGGUGGAUCGGCCACAUUGAAGGAAAGCCGGAACGGAAAGGAGUCUUCCCUGUCUCCUUCGUCCACAUUUUAUCAGACUAACUCCAGCCAGAAACUUGAGUAUUGCACAUUGUUCCUGCAAGUCAGGCUUUAAGCACGAAGCAAGACAGCUGCUGCAUCCCUGUAAUUCUGUGCAUAAUUGUGGAUAUUGAUGUAUAUAUAUAUAACUGCUGUUAACAAGGCGAGAACUCGGUCCUGCCCGUACGAAGGGCUCGUCAUACCUGUAAUUGUAUAUAGAAGGUGUUCCUUUGCCAUUGCCAGUAUUAUGGUCAUUGUCGGAGCUGGCAUGCCUUAUUGGGUUGCUCAAGCCAUUCUUGGCAUCAAGCACUUACAAAAAACUGUCCGUGUGUAUGAACUGCCAGCUUUCUAACUAAACUGUUAGUCCCAUUCACUCCCAUUCAGCUGAACAGAAUUUACCGUCCCUAAUAAUACAUCAGUAUUCUCGGAAGCAGAUAGCUAGCAGCAGUUUCUCUUUCCCCCAAAGGAACGGCUGAUGUCCGUCAAUGGCUACCCAACUUGCACCAUUGACAGCUUGUGAAAUCCUCUUCCUUGGUAUUCAUUUAGAAAAUAUAUAUAUAUAUACAUAUAUCUAUGUGUCCGAUGUAUCCAUCCAACAAACAGAAAUAUGCACUAAUGCUACAGGUAAAAAAAAAAACAGUAGAAUUUUUUUAUGGUGGUAGGCCACAUGUUCAUGUUUGUACUCUGUAACUUUGGUCUUUGACCUCACUGGGCUGCCAUCUCAAUGUCUUCAAUAAAAAUGAAUUCAAUCUCA